GUGCAGCCCAGCGGUCCAGUCAACAUGAAAGAGACCAGGCCUGAAGGAGGGUACUUCAGCAAAUACUCAGAGGCAGCCGAGCUGAGAAGCACAGCCUCCCUUCUGGCUACUCAAGAGUCUGAUGUCAUGGUUGGGCCCUUCAAACUGAGGUCAAGGAAGCAGCGGACUUUGUCCAUGAUUGAAGAAGAGAUCCGGGCAGCCCAGGAAAGGGAAGAGGAGCUAAAGCGGCAAAGACAAGUGAGGCAAAGCACCCCAAGCCCCAGGGCUCAGAACGCCCCAUCGCUGCCUUCCAGAACCACCUGCUACAAAACUGCUCCAGGUCCUGGAGGCCACUCGGGUUAAUCGAAGGAAGAGUGCUCUGGCCUUGCGCUGGGAGGCAGGGAUUUAUGCCAACCAGGAGGAGGAGGACAAUGAAUAAACUUCCUUCAGCCCAGGAAACUCCUUGGCCAAAGAGUUUCCGCAAAGAAACCAAGAAAUUAUUGAAUCAGACGCAUUUUAAUAGACUACUUAUUAAAGUGCAUACAAACUCAAUAACCCUCAUGUAGACCAGAAGCUGCAAUACACAAUGAUAAUAAAACAAAACGAAACACAAAAAAGCAAAGCGAAGCGAACAGGAAGUUCACCCAUCAAACUCUGAGACGGGGCAGAGGAGAAAGGGUGUCUUUGUGACUCAAAGAAAGCCUUGGCUUUGGACCAUUCCACAACUGAUCCAAAGGGACACAGACGGGACAAGCAAGUCCACGUAGUUGCUGCAGGCAGAACUGAAGCCAGCCUCGGCUGGGCGUUACGGAGGAGCAAACAGGCCAUUCCAAGGCAACCAACAGGCCCCAGCCUGGUGCAGCCUACAGCACACAGGCUACCCCUCCACCAGCUUCCCACCCCUUUCUCCGUCAAGGCAUCAGAAGUGUUGGGUUGACUCCAUUUUCUCCAGCAGCCAUAAAAACAAAUGGUGUUCCUUUCCAUAGUUGCCCCAAAAGGAGGCAACAAGGAUUCGAUCUCUCUUAUAUGUAAUCAUUUGAAAUUGGGAGCACCUAAUGGUCACAAUAUAUAUAAAGUCUGUAUUUUUAAGGCAAUAUCUCUUCACGUUGCAGACGCAAUCUAUCCUACAGCAGGAGGUUGAGGACGGUGGGGGAGAGAGCCAAACCAAAAGGGUUAUUAGCUUUAGGACCUUGUCUGCUUUUAUCGUUGACUGAUCAGUUUAGGGAAACACACUUUCACGGUUACGUUUCUUCAUAUGAAAAGUAUAUUUAGUGAGCAAUGACUAUUUUUAUGAUGGGAUGGGGGAACAGGGACACGGGAUAAAACCUGUACACAUUUGAACGGCUUGGUUCAAGAUGGUAGGGGUAUUUUUAGAAUGGCAAUAAUUGAAAAUAAAAGGGGGCAGACUCUGCCUUCAGGAAGGUAGAUGACCAGAAAUAAGGUGUUUGUAACUAUUUUCUAUUUUAAAGUGGGCCUUAGAGGUGGCUGUGGCAUAGGAUGAGCUGUUUUGGAUCUGAGAAAGGCAACCUUAAACGCAUGGAGAUAGGAAGAGAAAGGGGCGAGAGAGACAAAGAAUGGGAAAGGAAGGAAGGAAGGGAGAUUAUUUUUGCUGAACAACCAGUGUUUUCCAGGACGACAGAGAGAAAAAUAUAGCAUAGAAAUUUAAGUACACAUGUGGAAUCAGCUACAAAUCCUAAAGAUGGUGUGUAUGCCUUUGUGUGCUUGUAUAAGGCAUGUAUGUUGGUGAGUAAAUAUAUGCCAGCGUGGGGUGUGUGUGUGUGUGUGUGUGUGUGUGUGUGUGUGGUGUGUUGACCGUGACACAUGGGUGUACAGUAUUUCCUCUGUAGCUGCCUGUCGACUUCAGGAGUGAGUGACAGUUUUCUUUUUUUAUGAAAAGGCACAGGGAAGACACAGGGCUGAUGCAGUAUUCCUGAUGUCAAGCUGACUGAACUAUGGCAUUUGCAUGAGUGACAGUCGUGAAGUUUCCAGCAGUUUUGUAUUGAUAAUUUGACAUUUAGUACACACCCUAUUUAUUCUCAUGCUUUCUGUCCGUGCCUCGUGUACCACAGAGGACACCGGCUUCAUUCUUUCUGUCAUUUCAAGCAAUAUGAUAAGGACGUUCACUAAUCGGGUGCCCUGAGUUUCUGAAUGAGAAAAUGUUUCAUUUCUGGCCAGGAAGGGGAGGUGGGAGGAGGGGGAGAAGGCAUGGAAGGGGAAGGAGGAAGAAAAAGAAGAACUAACCAGCCUUCAUUAUUUUUCCUUUAUUUUUAAGCUAUUUCUUACAAGCAAUAAUUAAAUCAUACCUUGCUAAAAUUCAUUUUUGUUUUUAUGUUAUUAUGUUAUAAGAUCUAAUAUGUUAUUCUAAUGAGUAGCGACUCCACAAUACUUAUAUGCACACUCCACACACUAUCUUGGCUUUUUUGUUUUGUUUUGUUUUGUUUUCUUUAAAUUAGGCUAGUGUGACUUUAGGGAAAAGCUUACUCACUAGUAAGUAGUGGGCACAGGUAAAAAGAUGGAGUUGUCUCAUGGCUUAUAGGGAUGCUUAAAAACUACCAAGGGAACGUGUAACUCCAAGACAGAUUCUGCAGUCGCUAGCCAAAAUCGUACGCCGGAAGUGCGCGCCGUCUUUAGAUGGUUCAUUCUUUUAGACAUAAUGUUAUUAAAAAUGCUAGCCACUGAGGACAGAAAGCAAAGGCAGAGAACUGUGCUGCAAGGAAUUUGCUCUUCAGUAAGGGAGGUGGGCCCAGAAGCAAAUGUUCCGGAACAGAACGUGACAUCCAUGCCAGAUUAGAAGUCCUGCUAGGUAGAUGGGCACACGGGAGAAGGGCCAUUUUUGUCGAAGGACUUCCCGCCGGAGGCUGUUUACACGGUGAGAUGAAGGCUCCUUCCUUAGGGACACACAGGAAUCAGGACUCGUGGGGGGCGGGGAGGAGAGGGGUAGCUGCAGUGUCCUGGGACCUCCGCCCCACUCUGGAGAGCAGGGUAGUACUGUGAGUGCUACAGAAAGCAAGCUCCUUCAUGAUUUCUGGUAUGUGCUAGCGACUGUGGAAGCAUCACAGACCAACUCGCCCAUUUUUCACAAAGGGAAACCGUCCCCUUGGCUUCCUUAAAUUUCUUGUCCUGUUUAGAAGGGAAAUGUGGACCCUCGUGGAGGGUACACUGAGGAAAGACUUGGCAGCCAGAGCCCACGCACUCCUUGGAGUUCCUUCGGUAGCAGAUGAAGUGGUCUUUUGACUGCAGUAGAUUGGAUAGGAAGUUCGAACGCUGAGGGAUUAGGCUUGUCUGUAGGUGAGGAGACACAAGUCUCUUCCUGCUUACAGGGCUUUUAUCACUGGCCUCUCCAUUUCCAAGUUUUGCUGGUUUCCCUGAGCUGCCUCUAAAGACUGCCAUCUGUUUCCUUGCUCCCCUCGAUGACAGUUCUAGUGUAUUUUGUUAGGAUAGAAACCGCAUCUCCAUCAGAGAGAGGUAUUUUUUGUUCUGUGUUCUUUGGGGUAUUUUUUUUUAUUUGGGGUGGGUGGGGUGAUUUAUUCGUUUUCUCAUUCAGGAAACAUUUGAGCCAUUGCUUUGGACAUAUCACUGUGCUAGGCUCUAGGAUCCCACGUGGGCCCCUGUCACCUUCCCAGUAUGGAGCAGAUCCCUGGAGGAAAAGUCUUUUCUGCCCCAUAAGCCUGAGAUGAAGAGGCUCCUGGUUACUUUUGCCUCGGAUGCUCGGCUCUACCCUGCACCAGUACACAAGCUUGUUAGUCUCAGCUGUAAGAAAUGUUUAGCUUCUGUAGAUGUUAAAAACCUUCCUGAAGGAAUUCCACACUGCAGUGUUUAUACUCGCACUUCCCUCCAGAGCCUAUGACUUGACAGCCUUGGCUUUCUCAUCUAGAAAUGAGGGAUGCAGGGUCUGUCAUCUGUGGCAGAGGCUGGGCGGCACUUGGAUGACAUAGUGCAUGUCCCUUCCUCUUACCCAUGCAUGCUGCCCACCCUAGGCAAUGGCAUAGAAGCAGUAUAUAGAUCAGUGUCCACACACACACACACACAUACACACACACACACACACACAAACAAGGAACACCAAAACAGUGUUGAUUGUUGUGUUUAAAGACAUGUUUUUUUUUCACCUGAAGAAUGGACUUAAACUAUGUAUUGAAAAAAAAAUAGCCUAAGUGUUAGAAAUGGUGAAUGUAUCCAGUUUCAGUUACAAAAACGAUUUCCUGAAUUUUAAGCAUUCAGUGAGCUGCCAAUUUUGAUUUUGUGUUGCUCUUUAUCCAAAUGGCUUUUUCUUUUCUUCUUUCUUCUUUUUAUAAAUUGGAGGAAGUGGGGGUGGGGCGGGGAGCAGCAAUAUUGUGUUUGACAAAUUAUACUCUGUACCUGGCUUUCCUGUGUUCUGUUAACCACCGAGAUGUUUCUAUUCCGUUUUGGUUUUAUAGUGUCUGUGAGGCACUCGAUGCAACCAUACAGUUAUUUUCUCAUUAAAACUCAGCGUGUGCAGUGUU
This 4463-nucleotide long non-coding RNA is filed under the name Rattus norvegicus (Norway rat). RNAcentral describes it as "long non-coding RNA NONRATT022294". The record is from RNAcentral. Lineage: Eukaryota; Metazoa; Chordata; Mammalia; Rodentia; Muridae.